AUUGCUGAUAAAAUAACAAUUAGAGCAAAUGUCUUUCUAAUUGAGGUUCUGCUUUACUUCAUCGAUUAUAUCUUAAAGUUAUAUAAUUAUAAUUAGUUCUAUUAACUAACAUUAUUAUUCGUUAAAUUUAUUCGUUACAAUUUUAGACUGGAUACGUAAUAUAAUAUUAAGUAACAAUUAGCUGACGAACGGAUCGGUAAUUACAAGCCUAUAUAAUCGUUGGGCCGAUAUGUGUUAGUAUAGAAAUUGUGAAGGGCACAAACUAAAGGCCAAUUUACACGGGCGAUUUUUUCUGCGAUUUCAGUUGCGAUUUUCUCCUUUUUGGAGGAUGUGAAUUAAUUGGUAAAUCACGCACUGAGAUCUGUUCAUAUCGACUAUACACGAGUGGAUCACGAGUGACCACAAAUAACCAAGGUGACCACCAAUGCACCAAGAGUGACUACGAAAGACCACCAGUGAUCACGAGUCACGUUGACCGGUAAAACGUUUCGGAAUAACAUAUGUCAUCAUAAAAGGCAAAAAAAAUUUUCGAUGUAUCUCUCCAUAUAAACUCAUCGUCACUAAAAUUUGCAUGGAGUCGAAAACUGAUACUUUGUGGUCGACUUUUACUUACAUUUGUGGUCACCUGUGGUCCUCAUUUGUGCAUUUUUACAGGGUGUCUAAGAAAACGCUAUGGAAAUUCAACAGGCUGUCGUGCAUCAUAAACUUAGCUAAAUAAUUCAAUUUUUACAUAGGACGAACAAGUUGUAAUUUAAGUUCUCUAUGAUAGCUUUUCUAAAUCGUAACGAUGAGAAAUCGCCGGAUAUAGACCAAUUGCGAAACUUAGUGACCGCGCCUUCAACUGCCGAAAACAAGGCUUAUUAUGCAAAAACAAAUCAUUCUGCUAUAUUUUUAUAUGGCGAAAAAUGAAUUUCAGUGCUUGAGACGCGUUUUUAUGGUAAUCUCUUUAUUUUUUCAAUAUUUUUGUUUUGACUAUGUAAAUCUAGUCUUACUUCAAAUUUCAU
Non-coding RNA from Paramuricea clavata, 1004 nucleotides. The record is from the annotation of a GenBank genome assembly. NCBI's taxonomy places the organism in Eukaryota, Metazoa, Cnidaria, Anthozoa, Malacalcyonacea, Plexauridae.